This is a long non-coding RNA of Ipomoea triloba (trilobed morning glory), 991 nucleotides long. RefSeq lists it as uncharacterized. The record is from RefSeq and is a predicted model, not a curated record. The transcript has 2 exons. Lineage: Eukaryota; Viridiplantae; Streptophyta; Magnoliopsida; Solanales; Convolvulaceae.
AUUUCGCCAUGUUUUCGUUGUUCCUUUAAACCUGUCGUCCUUCUUGAUACAGAGAAUGCAUCAAUCAUGUGCCUACUAAAAACAUUUAUCUUAUCUUAUCUUAUCUUACUAUAUAUAAAAGUUACUCCCCUAGGAAACCGUGUAAGAGCCAAAAACUCCCGCUCAAAAAAGUCAUCGUAUUAGUUUAUAUAUAAUCCAGCUGUAGCCAAGUAAAAUAUAUAUAAACAAUUAAUGCGGCACAAAGCUCAAUGCAUGGGGAAUAUAAAAAAAUUUAGGGAGUAGACUUUUUGGCUUCCAGCAUUGGGGAAUAUAAAGAAGACUACAGGAUUCCCAAAAAUUAUCUAUCCAUUUCUUAUCUUCAAAAUCAAUUCAACCAAGAGCAUACAUUUUUUUGAAAGCCACUCAGGAGCAUACUAAAUCUCUUAAAAGCCUCUCUCAUUUGGUUCAAGAACACAAGUCGUGUAGAAUGAGAAAAAUAACAACUUCGGCAGUGAUAAGAAGAAAGAGGAAGCCACAAUCUACUCCAAAUCCAGAGAGCAAGAAAUCUAUAGAAAUUAGAAGAUCGAUGCUAAAUUCAAGGAAAAAAAAUAAAUCACCUGGUGGCUGGUGGUUCACGUCGAUGGAGCUGCUGACGUGCUUUGUUGCCGUGUUGGUCGUGGCUCGCUGGGAGAACUGGAGAAGGUCGCUAUUGACGCUGUUGAACCGGAGAAGUUCGCCGGCCGUGAAGAGCUGGUCGUGGAGAGUGGGCGGUCGGCGGUCGCUCAGCGGUGGAACCUAAGCAGAAAUAAGCCACGUAGGGCUGAAUGGGGGAAAAUAGGUCGCUGGGCGAUGGUCGGUGUGUGUCAGCGGUGGAACCUAAGCAGAAAUAAGCCACGUAGAGCAGAAGUAAUAUUUUUAGCAGUAAACCUAUUUAUUAUUGUAAUUAUUAUUAUUAUUUGUUUUAAUCACUUUCAGGUUUCAACAAGUUUACUUCCAACAGGUUUCAAAAACA